This is a non-coding RNA of Paramuricea clavata, 227 nucleotides long. The record is from the annotation of a GenBank genome assembly. NCBI's taxonomy places the organism in Eukaryota, Metazoa, Cnidaria, Anthozoa, Malacalcyonacea, Plexauridae.
GUUGGAUUCUACUGUAGAAAACUAAAUUUCAACUGCACUUAUUUUAAUUUAAAAGAGAUGAUCUAAUUAUAACGCAACAGUCAAUUGAUUACUGUAUUUUUUUACUUUCAGUUGAUAUUCAGUUGGACGAGCCAUUAUGGAAAGUGCUAUUGUCUCCCAGUGAUGUUGCCAUUGAAGUCUUGACACUUUGUUCCCAACUCGAGCCUCUGUGUAAACGAAAGUACACU